RNAcentral lists this ribosomal RNA (255 nucleotides) under uncultured bacterium. RNAcentral describes it as "partial 16S ribosomal RNA". It matches the Rfam family "Bacterial small subunit ribosomal RNA", at positions 520 to 776 of the family's 1533-position model. The record is from RNAcentral.
GACGGGGGGGGGGGGCAAGUGUUCUUCAGAAUGACUGGGCGUAAAGGGCACGUAGGUGGUGAAUCGGGUUAAAAGUGAAAGUCGCCAAAAAGUGGCGGAAUGCUCUCGAAACCAAUUCACUUGAGUGAGACAGAGGAGAGUGGAAUUUCGUGUGUAGGGGUGAAAUCCGUAAAUAUACGAAGGAACACCAAAAGCGAAGGCAGCUCUCUGGGUCCCUACCGACGCUGGGGUGUGAAAGCAUGGGGAGCGAACAGG